Oncorhynchus kisutch (coho salmon) is the source of this 2754-nucleotide long non-coding RNA. The record is from Ensembl. Lineage: Eukaryota; Metazoa; Chordata; Actinopteri; Salmoniformes; Salmonidae.
GAACACCCGGGCUUCAAGGGCCACCAGGAAUACCAGGGAACCCUGGACAACCAGGAGCCAAGGGUAAAACAGCUGACAUUGUUUUUAGAAAAUGGAGGGCUCUAAACUUUGAUAUUGUGAUGACUGUGUAACUUUCUUUUAGGUGAGGCAGGAGAACCAGGAAGAAUCAUCAAUGCAGGUAACCGGUUGACUAUUGCAUAACAGCGGCGAUGUGUUUACAGUAGCUAUACAUCUGUAUGACUGUCAGUGUGUACCUAAAACUGCUUGUGGUGAUUCCUCAGGGGGAUCUAGUUCUGUGGCCAUCCCCGGCCCCCCAGGAAGCCCCGGAGCACCCGGUCAAGCCGGACCCCCAGGGUUAUCAGGCCCCAUUGGCCCUGCUGGUCUUCCUGGCCAGUCUGGUAAGUCAGAUAACCUAUGGAUCUGUGGAUAGCUAAAGUAUUGGUCUUAUACAUGCUAUCUAUUUUCUGGCCAAGAGUCCUGUAUGUACUGUAUGUAUGCUUAUUUCCCCAGGUCCUAAAGGUGAGAGAGGGCUGAAGGGUGAGAUGGGUAUUCAGGGACUCCAGGGAGAGGCAGGUAUCUCAGUGAAAACCAGUGAAACCGUCAGCUCAUCCAGAGCUGAGAGACAGUUCAGUCUUCCUGCACAACCAGGUCCCCCUGGUCCCCCUGGACCCCCUGGAGCCCCUGGACGUGCAGGUGACUCAAGAUCAGGACUCCCAGGACCAGCUGGUCCCCCAGGAGAGCCAGGAUAUGGCAGACCUGGUCCUAGAGGAGAGAAAGGAGAGUCAGGAAGCUUUGUACCCAAUUCAGGAACAUUCUUCUCUGGACCCCCUGGACCUCCCGGGCCAUCUGGGCCAAAAGGAUCACCUGGUACACCAGGACCAAGAGGAAACCAAGGAGAUUCAGGCCAGCCUGGUCUACCAGGGAGCCCAGGAAGACCAGGAGUAGGCUCUGAAAGAGGUGAACUUAUCUUGGUCAAACUCAAGGCUAAACCAACAGCGAUUGAAAAAAAACAUGACCAACUCUGAUACAGGAGGUUAUUGACCCAGUAAUGAGAAUUUAUUGUGGCCCACCAUAGUCUACCACUGGUCUAGUGGUUCUCAAACCUCUCCUCUGGGACCCACAGACUAGCUCAUCUCUAAAUUAGCUCAACUAAUUCACCUAGUCAUGGGCUUGAUAAUAAGUGGACAAGUUGAAUCAGGGUGUGCUAGCUCUGGAAUAGAUCAAAUACAUGGAACGGCUGGGGGGCCCAGAGGAGAGGUUUGAUAACCACUGCUAUAGACCAUAGUCAAAACAUUGUUAACGGGCAGAAGUCUAGAAGUAUGUAUAGUAGGACAAAAUAUUUCUGAUUAAUUGCUUUGCUCUUUUGUUCCACACAGCAUCACCAUACGGUGGAACACAUGGGCCACCUGGGCCCCCAGGGACUCCAGGGAUUCCUGGACCAGAGGGACGGAAAGGUAAACUACCAAAACUUGGGAAUCUUAAUUAGAAACAAAUACACUUAGCUUCUGAAGGUUGUGGUGCCUGUAAAAGUAACAGGUCUAGACUCAGUCUUUGAAAUAACUAGUUGUCUUAUUCUCCACAUUUCCAAGGCGAACCUGGAAUUCCCGGUUCUCCUGGUCUUCCUGGCUCUGCAAGAGGUAAACACUCAUCUUUGACCUGCUGUCAAUAUUCCACCCACAACAUUAGAUACACUUAGAUCAUCAAGGUCUCCAAGGUGAACAGCCUCUGGCAUGUUAGAACAAUGUAUGUAAGGGAAGUAGGCAAGUCAGAUCCGUAACGUCAGGAUAAGGAUUGGCUCUAAGGGCUGGGUCGGUCGGGGCUGGGGUGCGAAGCGGGGCUGCGCUCGAGCCGUGGCUGGGGGAGCAGUUGCUCCGCCUCCCUUCUCUCGCCACUGCUGGAAGUUCGUUGUGCGGUCCAACUUGUGGGCUCUCGUUUGUGGCAGCGGCGACUCUGGACGCGUGCUGGGCCCUUCUCGCGGAUCUCCCCAGCUACGGUACUCGUUGGCCUCGUUUACGUGGGGUCUCUGGCGGGUUGCCUCGGCCUGACUUAGAACUGGUGCCGACCAGGGGAAUCCGACUGUUUAAAAUGAAAAGCCCCAGAAAAUAGUGAAGCGUGGGCAAGCGAACACAAUACUACACAAGAAAUGGGAACUAAAAACCUAAAUAAAAUCGGCAGACAACCAGAGAGCCACAACAUAAUAUAGCUACUAAAAUGCAUAUAUAGCGGGCAAGAAAUUUAUGAACAAAGGGGCCUUUGGACAGGACCCCAACACCCAAUUGUGGUGAGGAGCAAAAAGAAGUCUAAGGCCCAAGCUAUGGGGCCCGUGCAAGCAAUAAAAAUGUAUAUAUAGCGGGCAAGAAAUCUAUAAAUUAAUCAACACCUAAUAAAGGUGAUGAGUACAAAUGUGUUUACAAAGGGGCCUGUAGACAGGACCCCAACACCUAAUAAUGGUGACGAAUGCAGUGAGAACAAAUCAAAAACCUGGACAUGCCAAACCAGGCGCGACCUCGUGCGGACACCACAGGGAAAAAAGGUUGCGAAGUGAGCUAAGUAAUGCAGGAUGCACCUCCUGAUAGCCGAAAAAAGGUGCCGCUAGUGGGUUGGGUACCACUGGUGAAAUCUUCUUAUCUUGACCCAGUACAGCCUCAGAGGAAGGGCCACUCCAAGGAGCUGGGUCCUCCCAGGGUCCUCCCAGGGUUUCUCCGCUGGGCCCGACUAGUUUUUGCCACUGGCCGCCUUACAUCAUUUUCAAAC